Molecule: transfer RNA, 79 nt
Filed under: bacterium
Lineage: Bacteria
Description: tRNA-Ile
Rfam family: tRNA
About the family: Transfer RNA (tRNA) molecules are approximately 80 nucleotides in length.
Source: RNAcentral
GCGGAUGUAGCUCAGUUGGAAUGAGUAUCACCUUGAUAAGGUGAGGGUCGCAGGGUUCGAAUCCUUGCCAUCCGCUCCA